GUACUACUCCCUCCGUCCAAAAAUACUUGUCAUCAAAAUACAUGAAAAGGGAUGAAUCUAGAACUAAAAUACAUCUAGAUACAUCCCUUUUUAUUCUUUUUGAUGACAAGUAUUUUCGGACGGAGGGAGUCCUUG
Triticum aestivum (bread wheat) is the source of this 135-nucleotide non-coding RNA. The record is from Rfam. NCBI's taxonomy places the organism in Eukaryota, Viridiplantae, Streptophyta, Magnoliopsida, Poales, Poaceae.